UAACUGUGGCAAUAGAGGUCACCUGUUGUCACGGUUACGUUCUUAACCGUGGCAAAAGGUGGCCUCUAUUGCAACGGUUA
Molecule: microRNA precursor, 80 nt
Filed under: Lotus japonicus
Lineage: Eukaryota; Viridiplantae; Streptophyta; Magnoliopsida; Fabales; Fabaceae
Description: miR11125 stem-loop (lja-MIR11125)
Source: miRBase by way of RNAcentral